This 197-nucleotide ribosomal RNA is filed under the name uncultured bacterium. RNAcentral's name for it is "partial 16S ribosomal RNA". It matches the Rfam family "Bacterial small subunit ribosomal RNA", at positions 159 to 353 of the family's 1533-position model. The record is from RNAcentral.
ACUGCUAAUACCGCAUAAGCGCACAGGGUCGCAUGACCUGGUGUGAAAAACUACCGGUGGUAUGAGAUGGACCCGCGUCUGAUUAGCCAGUUGGUGGGGUAGCGGCCUACCAAAGCGACGAUCAGUAGCCGACCUGAGAGGGUGACCGGCCACAUUGGGACUGAGACACGGCCCAAACUCCUACGGGAGGCAGCAUG